This 744-nucleotide ribosomal RNA is filed under the name Muriicola marianensis. RNAcentral describes it as "bacterial SSU rRNA". It matches the Rfam family "Bacterial small subunit ribosomal RNA", at positions 82 to 824 of the family's 1533-position model. Lineage: Bacteria; Pseudomonadati; Bacteroidota; Flavobacteriia; Flavobacteriales; Flavobacteriaceae. The record is from RNAcentral.
UUUCCGCUGACGAGUGGCGCACGGGUGCGCAACGCGUAUAGAACCUACCCUGUACAGGGGGAUAGCCCGGAGAAAUUCGGAUUAAUACCCCGUAGUAAUGAUUAUCGGCAUCGGUGAUCAUUUAAAGUUUCGGCGGUACAGGAUGGCUAUGCGUCCUAUUAGCUAGAUGGCGAGGUAACGGCUCACCAUGGCUAUGAUAGGUAGGGGCCCUGAGAGGGGGAUCCCCCACACUGGUACUGAGACACGGACCAGACUCCUACGGGAGGCAGCAGUGAGGAAUAUUGGACAAUGGGCGAAGGCCUGAUCCAGCCAUGCCGCGUGCAGGAAGACAGCCCUAUGGGUUGUAAACUGCUUUUAUACGGGAAGAAUAAUGCCCACGUGUGGGCAGAUGACGGUACCGUAAGAAUAAGGACCGGCUAACUCCGUGCCAGCAGCCGCGGUAAUACGGAGGGUCCGAGCGUUAUCCGGAAUCAUUGGGUUUAAAGGGUCCGCAGGCGGGCGAUUAAGUCAGGGGUGAAAUGGUACGGCUCAACCGUAGCACUGCCCUUGAUACUGGUUGUCUUGAGUCAUAGUGGAGUGGCCGGAAUAUGUAGUGUAGCGGUGAAAUGCAUAGAUAUUACAUAGAACACCGAUCGCGAAGGCAGGUCACUAACUAUCGACUGACGCUGAUGGACGAAAGCGUGGGGAGCGAACGGGAUUAGAUACCCCGGUAGUCCACGCCGUAAACGAUGGAUACUAGCUGUC